AGUAAUGUCUGGGAAACUGCCUGAUAGAGGGGGAGUAACUACUGGAAACGGUGGCUAAUACCGCAUAAUGUCUACGGACCAAAGCAGGGGCUCUUCGGACCUUGCACUAUCGGAUGAACCCAUAUGGGAUUAGCUAGUAGGUGGGGUAAAGGCUCACCUAGGCGACGAUCUCUAGCUGGUCUGAGAGGAUGAUCAGCCACACUGGGACUGAGACACGGCCCAGACUCCUACGGGAGGCAGCAUG
This 244-nucleotide ribosomal RNA is filed under the name uncultured bacterium. RNAcentral's name for it is "partial 16S ribosomal RNA". It matches the Rfam family "Bacterial small subunit ribosomal RNA", at positions 109 to 353 of the family's 1533-position model. The record is from RNAcentral.